This 823-nucleotide long non-coding RNA is filed under the name Cavia porcellus (domestic guinea pig). Its description in RNAcentral is "lncRNA (ENSCPOG00000040187.1)". The record is from RNAcentral. Lineage: Eukaryota; Metazoa; Chordata; Mammalia; Rodentia; Caviidae.
UGUGUCUCAAUGUUUUCAGCAAUUUAGCAAAAGUAUGUGUGGCUCUUAUUUGGAAUAUUUCAAGUAGAAUUUAAGAGUGAAAUGUACUGUAUACAUUCUUCUGUGAUCAAAAUUAGUUUCAGAAAUGUGUAUGCAUGGGAAAGUGUUUGAAAGAAAUGUACAUUUUGUAACUAUCUCAUGAUGGCAUUACAUUCCUUUUCAGGGUUUUUCGGAGGGCACUGCUUCUACUUUUGAUUACUCUUUAAAAGACAGAGCUCCGUUUACGGUCAGAAAUGCUGUAGGUGUUCCCAUGAAGGUGCAGCUCAGUCGUAACCUGAGAGUGAUGGGCUCCCCAGGGAAGAGCGAUGUCUAUGGUGUGGAUGCCGGUCAGCAUCUGGAACUGGAGUAUGCCAGCACGGAACCUUCCUCUCAAGGGAAGCUGUCUGUGCUGAGCCGUCAGGAGAGUUCCUUCUUCACGCUGACUUUCGUACCACAUGGAUACACAGAGGUUGCCAAUGUCCCUGUUGCCCGACCUGGACGGCAGUUGUACAAUGUGCGGAAUCCCCACGCCAAUUACUCAGACUCCGUCUUGGUACAGAUUGAUGCCACCGAAGGGAAUAAAGUCAUCACCCUCCGCUCUGUGCUGCAGAUUAAAAACCACUUCUCUGUUCCAUUUAUUAUCUAUAAACUGGUUAAGAAUGUUAAACUUCUGGAGCGCAUUGGAACAGUCAGCCCCGAAGAGGAGUUCCAUGUCCCUUUAGAUUCGUAUAGAUCUCAGUUGUUUAUCCAGCCGGCUGGGGACUUAGAGCAUCAGUACAAGGAGUCGACCACCUACAUCCCCUGA